CGGAGGGCGGCGCACAGCUCGGGUGUGAGACUGCAGUCGCGGUGCUGACAGUGACCGGCUGCGUUCACUGGGGGAGGACCGAGCGCCGUCUGCGCGCGCUGCGGGACACGGGCGGCUUUCUCACCGACGCUCCCCAUCAUCAUCAUCAUCAUCAUCACCACCACCACCACCGUCACACACGCGCGCGCGCGCACACACACACACACAGUCACGAACGCAAACACACACACACACACACACACACAAUAGGGAGGGAUACCGGAGAAUAGCUAGCGCUCCAGCGGCACAGACAGAUGUGCGGUGCUCAGACUCCGCCGCGGGGCCGUCGCCCCUCGCGAGGCUAAACUUUUACCCCCCCCGCCGUGGGCGCGCGGAGCUCUCAUUGAUGCCCCGUGGCGCGCCGCUCGCACACCUGCUUCUGUUUGCCUCCUUUGCCUCUUUUUUUUUUUUUUUUUUGUUGUCUUUUCCCGGCGCACCGGGAGCGAUGCGGCGGCAGAAACGGGGGCUCAAGUGGCGACAGAUCCUGUUGAAUUGAGGCGAGACGUCUAGACCGCAGCCCCUAAAAAAAAAAAAAAAGACAAAGUGUCCCUCCUCGGGAGUGCGUCAGAGCACGGAUGGAUAUAGUGGAGGAUGUGGCCGCUGGUUGGAGACGACGAGGGAUUUGUGGUAUUGACCCCCCCGAAAUCAGGACGGGAAUUUGGGCAGGAGCAAAGAACUGCAUCCUCACCUAGCUCCCCUCCUCCUCCUCCUCCUCCUCCUCUUCCUCCUGGAACAGAUUUGUUUGUAGGGGGGGCUGAGGCGAUUUCAUCACAUGGAGCGUCAGCGGAACAAAGUCAUUCAGAUUCAUCGGAUCUCCACAAAAUAACACCACGGAUCCAGUUUGAAGAACAGCAUUUUUCCACCACACAUCUCAUGGUGUAAAAUGGCAACCAGGCGGGACCACCGGAGGAUCGAAAGACGCAUUCGGGCCGCGCAGAGAUUAACCACCUGAUGGGCACCGGAGGGCGCGUGCAGGGACUGUUUGGGCUGCAGCUUGUUGACUUGGUGAUUUAUAACGCGCAACGGAUAGGCACAGCGCGUGCGUAACGCGCUCUCACGGCGGUGGGGGGGGGGGGGGGGGGGGG
Gasterosteus aculeatus aculeatus (three-spined stickleback) is the source of this 1124-nucleotide long non-coding RNA. NCBI's taxonomy places the organism in Eukaryota, Metazoa, Chordata, Actinopteri, Perciformes, Gasterosteidae. The record is from Ensembl.